Molecule: long non-coding RNA, 5989 nt
Filed under: Triticum aestivum (bread wheat)
Lineage: Eukaryota; Viridiplantae; Streptophyta; Magnoliopsida; Poales; Poaceae
Description: long non-coding RNA (TAES_LNC017296)
Source: RNAcentral
GGCCACCGGGUUUGGCGUUGGAGAAACAGGGGUCGGUGCCGGCGUUGGUGUCACAGGCGUCUGUGUUGGCGGCAUCACGGGUGUAGGUGUUGGGGCCACCGGUGUUGGUGUUGGAGAGAGAGCAGGUGGUACCGGCGCCGGAGUUAUAGGGGUUGGUAUUGGAGGCAUCAUAGGGGGAGGUGCCGAUGUUGGAGUUACAGAGGUCGGUAUGGGCGUGGGUGCCGGAGUGUUUGUAGGUGGAGGGAUGAAGACAGUCGGGGUCGGUGCCGGCGUCGGAGUCACCGGGGUGAGUGUGGGUGUUGGUGAGGGCAUGGGAGUUUUUGAAGGUGGAGGGCAGGGUAUGGACGAUGGUGAAGACUUGUGCUUACACGGUGGAGGCUGGGAAGGCUUUGUCGGCGGGCAUGAUCGGCACGACGCGGACUGCGCGAGAUGCACGUCUAAGGAGAGCAGCGCCACCAGCAAGAACGCCGCAAUGCGGGCCAUGCUCUUGGAGCUUAAGGUCUUGGUGUUGGUAUAGCUUUCUUGCUCUUGACUAACAGAAUGCCUUGGUAUGGGCGUGCUUAUAUAGGCGUGCCGUGUACUGUCUUUUAUUUUUCUAUUGAAAUGGUGUACUUCCUUGGUCGACCUGACCAAGUGUGGAGCCCUCUUCCCCCGUGACGAUCUUUCCAGGAUUGCUGGACCUCUCCCACUUGCACACAUCUGGAUGAAAUUAACACACCUCAUCGUCCACGCUCAGGGACCAGCGCUCCACUAGUCUAUCUAUCUUCUAUUCUAUACCUAAUAUGUAUAACUACUACUCCCUCCGUUCCAAAAUAAACGUCUCAACUUUGUACUAACUUUAGUGCAAAAUUAUACUAGUGUUGAAACACUUGUUUUGAGAAGGAUGGAGUAAUAAAGUAAUAAUCUUCUUCCUCUCUGGCUGGUCAUGAUCAUCUUCUUCCUCUCUGUAUCUCUCUCAUGGUCGACGGUGGGGCUCGCCGGGGUGAGGUGCCUGCGACUCCGACCUGCUCCUACCUCUCUUCUCUUUCUCUCUCUAACUCUCCCUGUCUCCCCCUCUCUCUUCGUCGUAAUCUUCCUUUAUUAUGCACUAUAGGGUUAAUUCGGGAGGGAGCCUCCCCUAGACGAUACCUGGGACCCCGAUCGCCGCCACAACCACCGGUCUUCAUCUCCUAAAUUCGGCAUCUCCGAGCAACCGUACAACACCCCGACAAACAUGUCGUCUUUGCUAUGACCAUGCGAGCCUACUUCCCUCUUUCCCUGCUCGAUUUCGUGCCCGGACCCCCCUGCUCGGAGCCGCCUCCGUGAUCAAGCUCGACAUAAUCGGUUGUACGGCGGCCCGCUUACAUCUGCUGCGCCAGUCAGACUGGCGCGCGUUGUCUAGCUACCCCGCACCUCGCGCCCUCCGACCGCAGUCAUUCGGCCACCUACGGUGAGCCGACGGUGAGAUACCGGCGAGCACAUGAACUCAAGAUCGGGCUUGCGUUCCAGGUGUGGACCGGUGUUGACCUUGACUGUGGGCCCAUGGCCCACAUGUCAGGAAGAGAGAGGGUCUGAGAGAGAAGGUUUUAUUUUUACUUUUAUAAUUUUUGUUUGGCCCACUUGUAAGUGUGUGCGAGAGGGGUGAGAGAGAGUCUUUAUUCAUUUUUGUAGUUUGGCCCCACAAGUAAGUGAGUGAGAGAGGGGGUGAGAGAAAGAGUUUUUUCCUUUGAUUUUUCAUAGUGGGUCCCGCAUGUGAAUGACAUAAGGAGACAGGGGCAAUGAUGUCCCUAAAACGCCUAGUACACUCUCAAUGAGCUUUGGUCAGACGAAAACGACACAAAAGGGCAUUUCUAUAAGGGGAACUAACGACAGAGGGGAAAAUUUGAGUAAGCAUCAAAAUUAGGGGCAAAUCUGAGUAGUGGAUUCGAGUUAGGGGCACAAAUGUAAAUGUCCAUAUCUUUUAAACCGUAACUCCAAUUUUAUCAUGUUAUAUGUGGAAUUUGAUUAGAAAAAUGUGUAGAAUCUGAAUAUGAUGUAAUUUACAUGUCUACUAUUUUUAAAUGAUAUUUAUUGUUGAACUUUAAUCAAUACAGCACAAUUCGUCUUCAUUUUGGACGCGGAUCCGUAUUACAAGUUAACACACGGCACGCAAUGUUAUGUGAUGUUUGGCAAGGAGUGAGCUAGGUAAAUGAUUAUAGUGAGUCUAUUAUAAUCCAUCGUCUUGUUGUAUUUGCACCAGGUUCUCACUUUGUACAUAUACCAUGAUCUAACAACCAACGUAUGUAACUUUUCUUGGUGAAAUCCACGUGCGUACUUACCAAUGGACUGAACAUUUGUUUUUUAGUGAAUACACACACAAUUUUUUAACAGGAUGUACAUACACUUAAAAAAUUCAUGAACAUCGGAAGUGAAUGAAUGUUUAUUUUGAAAAUAUCCAAACAGUUCUUGUGAUAGUCAUAAACUUUAAUAUUGGAACCGAUAAGUAUGAUAUUAAUUUGUGUUCCAUCUGCUGCAUGUCACGGUGACACAUAAUUUAUAGAUCUGGCCUCCUCAGUGUUGAAUUGCACCACCCAGAUAUUGCAUGUUUGUGGUCGUAGGGUGCACGGUAUCAAUAUGAUGAAUCAGAAUAAAAAUUGAAUUGAAAUGAAAAUAGUUGCUCAGCUAAAAAAUGUUUACUCUCCCGUUUGCAACGCAUAGAAACCAUGCAUUUGUAAGAACUUUCUCUUGUAUUGAGCAUUCCGGAAUAUCCACACAAUGCUUUAUGCCACCUACACUUUCGGAUUGAACAAGUGUCGCGUCCACAACGACCUAGCUCAAGCCCACCGGAUUAUUCACACCACGCCUUAAACCACAGACACUUUGUAUUAGACAUGUGUGACGUCCUCACCGUCCUGGCUUUCAGAAAUAAAUAUCCAGUGGAACAUCUGAGCAUCGAUAUAAAAAUCACAUUGAUCACCCGUAACUCCAAGUGAACCCGAAUCGGCACAAGGAUACGAAAUCAGACAAUAACAAAUAACAACGAUGCACACACAAUGGUCAACCCUACAAAACGGGGGUUCGUCACGCACUUGCCUCGACUCAACUAUUAGACCGUAGAAUUGUCUCAACUCUUGAAACUCUCAAACCCAUUCGUAGAAAAUGAUUUAGAAGGCUAAUUCAAAUACUAAUCACUUAACAUAGUGUGUAUACCUAACCAUGUACUGGCAUCUUUCAUUUACUUGUAAACAUGGAUCCAUCAGUCCUUUUCUCAGAGUCUAGUUUAUGUACAUAACAUGCCAAAAGAAUUUCCAACCUACAGCUGCCUAAUUCUAUUCUUAUAGGCAGUUUGGCAGAUUGAUGCUUGUCCAACAAGGACAUCCGCAAUAUCCAUGGCACAAACAUCAAUCCGAAUGGUCCGAAUAAUUGUCCCAGUUAGAUAAGAAUCAAUCUGGCCAACUGCCUAUACGAAUAGAAUUAGCCAUCUGUAGGUUGGAAAUUAGUUCGGCCUCUUAUGUACAUAAAGAGAUAGAGACUGAUGGAUCCAUGUUUACAUGUAUAUGAAAGAUGCCAAUACACGGUUAGGCAUGAACACUGUUGUAAGUGAUUAGUAUUUGAAGUAGCCUUGUUUAUUAGUUUUAACGAAUAGGCUCGAGAGCUUCAAGAGUCGAGGAUAAUUCUGCGGUCUAAUAGUUGAUUUGAGAAAAGUGCAUGACGAACACCCGUUUUGUAUGGUUGACCAUUGUGUGUGCAUUCAUUGUUAAUUUUUAUUGUCUGAUUUCGUAUCCUUGCGCCCAUUCGGGUUCACGCGGACUGACUGAUGAUCAAUGUGAUUUUUAUAUGGAUGCUCGGAUGUUCCACUGGAUAUUUAUUUCUGAAAGCCAGGACGGUGAGGACGUCACACAUGUCCAAUCCGAAGUGUCGGUGGUAUAAGGCACUGUGUGAAUAAUCUGGUGGGCUUGAGCUAGGUCGGCGAGGACGCCACACAUGUUCAAUCUCAAAGUGUCGGUGGUAUAAAGCAUUGUGUGGACAUUCCAGAAUGCUCACUACAAGAGAAAGUUCUUACAAAUGCAUGGUUUCUUGUUGGGAUGGUUAUAGCCUUUCUAAGAUUGUGCUUUCAGAUAUAUUUUUGUGUUCCCAUCUGAAAUCAUGGAGUUCCUCAUUUACUGAUGUUCUAUAUUGUGCUUGCUGAGUAUUUUUGUACUCACUCUUGCAUACAUAUGGAUUUCCUGUACUAAAGGACACGGGUAGAAAACAGGGCUUUGGUCACAGCCCAAUAUACACAUUAGUCCCGGUUGCACUACGAACCGGGACUAAUGUGUUCGAGCGGCUAAAGGCAUUAGUCCCGGUUCAAAUGAGACCUUUAGUCCCGGUUUGAGACACGAACCGGGACUAAAGGCAUCGCACCCUUUAGUCCCGGUUCGUGUCUCAAACCGGGACUAAAGGGGUUCGUGUCUCAAACUCUACCCCCUGUGUAUCGCCAUUUCAGUAAAAAAAAAAGAAAAUGAUAAAAACUUCAAAAAAAUAAAAUCCUUCGAGAUGUAGUUAUAUUACUACAUCUACUAGUUAGGAAAAUUUAAAAACUUAAAUUUGGACAUGUUUUUCAAAAAAGUGUUAUGAAAAAGUAAAACGGCUAUAACUUUUGCAUACGACGUUGGAAAAAAAUGUAUAAUAUAUCAAAAUGUUCAGCACAAAAAUCCGCAUCCUGUAAAGUGUAUGGUUCAACAAGUAUCUUGGUAUGGGUUACAAGUGGAUGUGAAAACUUCUUUUACACAGUACGAACAUUUUAUUCAUAGUUCUUCAAAAAGAAAACACACACUACAAAACCGAUGGAAGACCACAAUUGGUAACAUGUUAUACGAUUACUAUUAUAUACGCUGUUACACAAACACAAUGUAUGCAUGCUCCACAGCUCCCUGUCACAAGUAGCGAGUCAGAGCUGCAAAUCCAUGUACAUAUAGAUUAUUACACUUCGAUAUGCAAGAGAAUUUAAUGCAUGUAUCGCAUUCAUAUGCAGGUGAUACUGAUAGUACAUAUAGUAAUCGAUGGAGCUUAAUUAGGGCAGCGGAAGUCUUUCGGCACUCUCUUGCCGCACUGGUUGACGAGCACCUCGAUGGCGAUGGGCAGCAAGAGGUUGAUGUUGAGGGCCUUGACCUUAAUGGUGGUGCAAAUGCAGAGAGCAGCGUCGAGGUCGGCAACGCCAGACAGCAGCGGGCAGCAUGUAUUGCUGGCGCUACUGCCGUUCACCGCGUGCAACAGCCCAUUGAACACGUCCACGCACGCAAGCAGCUUUAGUUUGUCCACGGGGCACUUACCGGUCGAUGUAGGCGGCACUGGGGCCGUGGCUGGGGGUGGCAUCGGAGUCACAGGGGUGGGGGCUGGCGGCAUCACGGGGGUCGCUGUUGGGNNNNNNNNNNNNNNNNNNNNNNNNNNNNNNNNNNNNNNNNNNNNNNNNNNNNNNNNNNNNNNNNNNNNNNNGUUGGAGAAACGGGGGUCGGUGCUGGCAUCGGAGUCACAGGGGUCGGUGUUGGCGGCAUCAUAGGAGUCGGUGUUGGGGCCACCGGGGUUGGCGUUGGAGAAAUGGGGGUCGGUGCUGGCAUCGGAGUCACCGAUGUUGGUGUUGGCGGCAUCACAGGGGCCGGUGUUGGGGUUCACCGGGGUUGGCGUUGGAGAGACAGGGGUUGGUGCUGGCGUCGGAACAACAUGGGUCGGUGUUGGGGCCACCGGACUUGGCGGUGGAGAGACAGGGGUCGAUUCCGGCGUCGGUGUUAGCGGCAUCACAGGGGUAGGUGUUGGGGCCACACCGGGUUUGGCGUUGGACAAACAGGGGUCGGUGCCGGCGUUGGUGUCACAGGCGUCUGUGUUGGCGGCAUCACGGGUGUAGAUGUUGGGGCCACCGGUGUUGGUGUUGGAGAGAGAGGAGCUGGUACCGGCGUCGGAGUUAUAGGCGUUGGUAUUGGAGGCAUCAUAGGGGUCGGUGCCGCUGUUGGAGUUAAAGAGGUCGGUAUGGGCGUGGGUGCCGUAGUGUUUGUAG